UACGUAGGUGGCAAGCGUUGCUCGGAAUUACUGGGCGUAAAGCGCGUGUAGGCGGACCACCAAGUCGGACGUGAAAGCCCUGAGCUCAACUCAGGAACUGCAUCCGAAACUGGCGGUCUGGAGUAGUGGAGAGGAAAGCAGAAUUCCUGGUGUAGAGGUGAAAUUCGUAGAUAUCAGGAGGAACACCGGUGGCGAAGGCGGCUUUCUGGACACUUACUGACGCUGAGACGCGAAAGCGUGGGGAGCAAACAGG
This 253-nucleotide ribosomal RNA is filed under the name uncultured bacterium. Its description in RNAcentral is "partial 16S ribosomal RNA". It matches the Rfam family "Bacterial small subunit ribosomal RNA", at positions 524 to 776 of the family's 1533-position model. The record is from RNAcentral.